This 97-nucleotide non-coding RNA is filed under the name Calothrix sp. RNAcentral's name for it is "TPP sequence". It matches the Rfam family "TPP riboswitch aptamer (THI element)". Rfam says of the family: Vitamin B(1) in its active form thiamin pyrophosphate (TPP) is an essential coenzyme that is synthesised by coupling of pyrimidine and thiazole moieties in bacteria. The previously detected thiamin-regulatory element, thi box was extended, resulting in a new, highly conserved RNA secondary structure, the THI element, which is widely distributed in eubacteria and also occurs in some archaea. RNAcentral also lists the same sequence under 1 other name. Lineage: Bacteria; Bacillati; Cyanobacteriota; Cyanophyceae; Nostocales; Calotrichaceae. The record is from RNAcentral.
GGAAAUUGCUAGGGGUGCCUGUAAAAUCGGGCUGAGAAUACACCCUUAACACCUGAGACUGGGUAAUACCAGCGUAGGGAAGCCAUUUAUAAAGGAA